RNAcentral lists this transfer RNA (69 nucleotides) under Schistosoma japonicum. RNAcentral describes it as "tRNA-Gln". Lineage: Eukaryota; Metazoa; Platyhelminthes; Trematoda; Strigeidida; Schistosomatidae. The record is from RNAcentral.
AAGAAGCUAAGUGUAAUUUAUUGCAUGUUCUUGUUUUGGUCAGGAUGGGGGUUGGGUGCCAGUUUCUAU